CAAGGCUUGACAUCCUACGAAUCUCUAGGAAACUAGGGAGUGCCCUUCGGGGAGCGUAGAGACAGGUGGUGCACGGUUGUCGUCAGCUCGUGUCGUGAGAUGUUGGGUUAAGUCCCGCAACGAGCGCAACCCCUGUGUUUAGUUGCUAACGAGUAAUGUCGAGCACUCUAGACAGACUGCCGGUGAUAAACCGGAGGAAGGUGGGGAUGACGUCAAAUCAUCAUGCCCCUUAUGUCUUGGGCUACACACGUGCUACAAUGGCCGGUACAGACGGACGCGAAGCCGCGAGGUGGAGCAAAUCCGAGAAAGCCGGUCUCAGUUCGGAUUGCAGGCUGCAACUCGCCUGCAUGAAGUCGGAAUCGCUAGUAAUCGCAGGUCAGCAUACUGCGGUGAAUACGUUCC
Molecule: ribosomal RNA, 402 nt
Filed under: uncultured bacterium
Lineage: Bacteria
Description: bacterial SSU rRNA
Rfam family: Bacterial small subunit ribosomal RNA
Source: RNAcentral